RNAcentral lists this long non-coding RNA (312 nucleotides) under Cyanistes caeruleus (blue tit). Its description in RNAcentral is "lncRNA (ENSCCEG00000006181.1)". The record is from RNAcentral. Lineage: Eukaryota; Metazoa; Chordata; Aves; Passeriformes; Paridae.
UUCUGUCCUUUUGCUUUGUCUGCACAGAUCUUUGUGAAGUAGACUCUUGAGAACAUUAUGCUCAGCCUGUGUAAAUUACAACAGUUCCACAGUGGAUGUCAAAAGAAUUAGCUAUGUAUUGAGAAGGAUUCUUCUUUUCUCAAGCUGAAUCAUUAACUGCUGUCUUCACAAAUGCAUAAAAUGCACCAAGAGAAAGAUCCCUCAGCUGAAUGUUUUUGGGUCCAUAACCCUUUGGAGGAAGAUGACAUUUUCUAUGGAAAUCUGUGCUACACUAUUAGAUUAAAAUACAUGAGGCAGGUACGUACUGAAGGA